AAGUCGUAACAAGGUUUCCGUAGGUGAACCUGCGGAAGGAUCAUUAUCGUGGGGAUUCGUCCCCAUCGAGAUAGCACCCUUUGUUUAUGAGCACCGUUUGUUUCCUCGGCGGGCAUGCCCGCCGCUAGGACCCCCAAUAAACCUUUGCAGUAGCAGUAUCGUCAGUUUAAAACAAAAUAUUAAAACUUUCAACAACGGAUCUCUUGGUUCUG
This 212-nucleotide unclassified non-coding RNA is filed under the name fungal sp. RNAcentral describes it as "partial internal transcribed spacer region". The stretch from base 1 to 46 matches the Rfam family "Eukaryotic small subunit ribosomal RNA", at positions 1786 to 1831 of the family's 1831-position model. The record is from RNAcentral. Lineage: Eukaryota; Fungi.